CAGUAGCCACGGUAAUACGAAGGGUGCAAGCGUUAAUCGGAAUUACUGGGCGUAAAGCGCGCGUAGGUGGUUUGGUAAGAUGGAUGUGAAAUCCCCGGGCUCAACCUGGGAACUGCAUCCAUAACUGCCUGACUAGAGUACGGUAGAGGGUGGUGGAAUUUCCUGUGUAGCGGUGAAAUGCGUAGAUAUAGGAAGGAACACCAGUGGCGAAGGCGACCACCUGGACUGAUACUGACACUGAGGUGCGAAAGCGUGGGGAGCAAACAGGAUUAGAUACCCGGGUAGUCCCUGUCUCUUAUAC
This 301-nucleotide ribosomal RNA is filed under the name uncultured bacterium. RNAcentral describes it as "partial 16S ribosomal RNA". It matches the Rfam family "Bacterial small subunit ribosomal RNA", at positions 509 to 807 of the family's 1533-position model. The record is from RNAcentral.